GACGAACGCUGGCGGCGUGCCUAAUACAUGCAAGUAGAACGCUGAAGGAGGAGCUUGCUUCUCUGGAUGAGUUGCGAACGGGUGAGUAACGCGUAGGUAACCUGCCUGGUAGCGGGGGAUAACUAUUGGAAACGAUAGCUAAUACCGCAUAAGAGUAGAUGCUGCAUGACAUUUACUUAAAAGGUGCAAUUGCAUCACUACCAGAUGGACCUGCGUUGUAUUAGCUAGUUGGUGAGGUAACGGCUCACCAAGGCAACGAUACAUAGCCGACCUGAGAGGGUGAUCGGCCACACUGGGACUGAGACACGGCCCAGACUCCUACGGGAGGCAGCAGUAGGGAAUCUUCGGCAAUGGACGGAAGUCUGACCGAGCAACGCCGCGUGAGUGAAGAAGGUUUUCGGAUCGUAAAGCUCUGUUGUAAGAGAAGAACGAGUGUGAGAGUGGAAAGUUCACACUGUGACGGUAUCUUACCAGAAAGGGACGGCUAACUACGUG
RNAcentral lists this ribosomal RNA (495 nucleotides) under uncultured bacterium. RNAcentral describes it as "partial 16S ribosomal RNA". It matches the Rfam family "Bacterial small subunit ribosomal RNA", at positions 28 to 507 of the family's 1533-position model. The record is from RNAcentral.